CCUACGGGUGGCAGCAGUGAGGAAUAUUGGUCAAUGGGGGGAACCCUGAUGCAGUGACGCCGCGUGGGUGAAGGAGCGUUUCGGCGCGUAAAGCCCUAUCGGCAGGGAAGAAGGAGGACGGUACCUGACUAAGAAGCCCCGGCUAACUACGUGCCAGCAGCCGCGGUAAUACGUAGGGGGCAAGCGUUAUCCGGAUUUAAUGGGUGUAAAGGGGGCGCAGACGGGACCGCAAGCUAGGUGUGAAAGCCCGCGGCCCAACCGCGGGACUGCUCUUGGAACUGCGCGGCUUGAGUGCAGGAGGGGCAGGCGGAAUUCCUGGUGUAGCGGUGAAAUGCGUAGAUAUCAGGAGGAACACCGGUGGCGAAGGCGGCCUGCUGGACUGCAACUGACGUUGAGGCACGAAAGCGUGGGGAGCAAACAGGAUUAGAUACCCCUGUAGUC
Molecule: ribosomal RNA, 441 nt
Filed under: uncultured bacterium
Lineage: Bacteria
Description: partial 16S ribosomal RNA
Rfam family: Bacterial small subunit ribosomal RNA
Source: RNAcentral